AUGCGCAACUCAAAACUGAAUCCAGUUCAAUCUUGGCAGUCACCAUUCGACCAUGCACUUGCCUCCCAAAAUCGCGCUUCAUCCGGUCAGCACAAGCACCAACAACCCGCCUCAUCCACACGGCCACACCGGACAUACCUAUGCAUCACAGCGUUGACAGCCACAGCAUCCUUGACGGGCAUCUCGUCCAGCAGACUAUGGGCGGUGUCCAAAUCCCCUGCAGAGACCAUGCCUGUGAUCACUGCGUUCCAGGAAAAGUUGUUCCUUUCCGGCAUGGAGCGGAAGAGACGGAGCGCCUCGGCGUGGUCCCGGGAGUUGAGGUGGGCGGUGACGAGGGAGUUGUAG
This 345-nucleotide ribosomal RNA is filed under the name Triticum aestivum (bread wheat). Its description in RNAcentral is "partial small subunit ribosomal RNA". Lineage: Eukaryota; Viridiplantae; Streptophyta; Magnoliopsida; Poales; Poaceae. The record is from RNAcentral.